RNAcentral lists this long non-coding RNA (1247 nucleotides) under Canis lupus familiaris (dog). Its description in RNAcentral is "lncRNA (ENSCAFG00030000383.1)". Lineage: Eukaryota; Metazoa; Chordata; Mammalia; Carnivora; Canidae. The record is from RNAcentral.
AAAUAAAAAAAAAACAUAUAUAUACUUUCAAGUAGAAUUUGCAUUCAGUCUAACAAAACAUGAACAAAGCUUUGAAGGAAUUUUUUUUUUUUUUGGAGUUGCAUUUGGUUGAAAGAUUAGAUGGGAGAAGACUGACAUGUUGACGGUGCAGAGCCUUCCUGCCCGAGAACCAGUGCAUCUGCUUCCGUUAUUCGUUUGAACUGUUUUAUGUCCACCCGUCAUUUCCUGUAAUAUUCUUCAUAUGGGCAUUACACGCCUAGAAAAGAGUAAUGUCAUCAAGAGCCUUAAAACUGUUUUCUUAGUAAUUCCACCUCUAGUGGCCUAAACAACGUGAACACGAGUUUGUGCGUAAAAGAUUUCAGCUACAACGUUGAACCUGGAACGGUCCAAACGUUAGAAACACUUAAAAUGAACAGUUACAGGGGGUUGGGGGGUGGGGGCAAGAGGGUGGUGGAUAAAUAACUUCCGAGACAGCCACAAGCUGAACUAUUAGGCAGCCCUUAAAAAGAUACUCCUGGAAAUCAGCUCAGCUUGAACGCCGCGUGGAAAAUCGCGAGUGAACGUGUUGCACGGACAGUUUUAUCUUUUUUUUUUUUUUUUUUUUCCUUUUUUUGGCAGGCAUAGCUCUGUACGCCUGGUAGAGAGCGCAGAGGAUGAGCCCGGAAAGAUGCAGCUCAGAGGAUGAGCCCGGAAAGAUGCGCUUCGAUUAACAGAAACACCAACCCUGAGGAAGAGGACAGUCAAUGUACUAGGAUCCUAGUGGGUCAUGAGGACACCAGGGAAAUCCGGACUUUGACAUUCAAAAUGUAUCUCCAGGGCCGCCUGGGGGGCUCAGUGGUUGAGCACCUGCCUUCAGCCCAGGGCGUGACCCCGGGGUCCCAGGAUCGAGUCCUGCAUUGGGCUCCCCGCAUGGAGCCUGCUUCUCCUCCCUCUGCCUCUGUCUCUGCCUCUCUCUGUGCAUCUUUCAUGAAUAAAUAAAUAAAAUCUUAAAAAAAAAAAACCCUGUAUCUCCAAACCAUUAUCCACUCCAGGACGAGGCAGAGGAAAACAAUCAGGGCAUAACAACCAAACCAUGAUGAUAAACGCACACGGUGAACCCCGGUCCUCUUGGCCGGGAUCUGGACUCGUUCCAUUUGGGUCGGAGGGAGUAAGUCCCAGGGUAGGUGCAUCUUACCUGGAAUGCCCCGAGCGGCCACAGGGCAGCCUGCCUCCUCCUGUGUGUUUUAUCCCCUCGGGGAUGCUUGCUU